This 1224-nucleotide ribosomal RNA is filed under the name Triticum aestivum (bread wheat). Its description in RNAcentral is "partial small subunit ribosomal RNA". Lineage: Eukaryota; Viridiplantae; Streptophyta; Magnoliopsida; Poales; Poaceae. The record is from RNAcentral.
AUGAUUGAAACUUACAAUGUGGGUGAGGUGAAAAUUUUCCAAGACAUGUGGGAAGCAAGGAAAAAAUUUGUGCCAGUGUACUUCAAGACAAAGUUUUUCCCAUUCAUCCAAACAACAGCUAGGAGUGAGGGCACAAAUGCUUUGUUCAAGAAGGGGGUUGGUGCACAGUUCAGCAUGACAAGCUUCCUACGAGAAUACCAGAGAAUACUAGACAACAUCCAUGCAAAUGAGGAUGAGCUUGACCAUAAUGCAAAGCACAAAAAAGUUUCCUGGAAAUCAUUCAACACUAAGUACUACAUCGAGAGACAAGCACACAGCCUGUACAACAUAAGCAUCUUCAGAAAAUUUCAGCUCAUUCUGAAUGAUGUAACAAGACUGCAAACUAGAGAAGAGGAAAAAAUGAAACUAUACAUGGUGUACCAGGCAAAGAACUACUACAAACAAGAACACGAGACAAGGCUUUAUGUGGUGCAAGUGGAUACUGAGAAAGAAGAUUACUCCUGCAUUUGUUGCAAGUUUGAAAAGGAUGGCAUUUUGUGUUCUCAUAUUCUGAAAGUGAUGGUGCACCUUGAGGUGGAUAAGAUACCAGACAAAUACAUAAUAGACAGAUGGAGGAAACAAGGCAAGAAAAUGAAUAAACCCAAGGAGAUUCCACUCAUAUUAGAUAAUGACGAACUGAGAUACAAUGUCCUAGGGAUGAAGCUAAUGGGGCUUGGUUCAAACGCAUCAAAGAGUCAAAGGAAGUUUGAAUACCUGGUAUCAGAAAUGUUCAGGAUUCAACAACACUUAAUUGAUAUGGAUAGAGAAGGAGAAGAAGAGAUGGAUGGGCAAGGAGAACAAACAGAGGAGAGCAACAGAUCCAACAAGACAAUAGGCACACUGACAACUAUGGUGCAGAGUGGGGGCAGCAAUUCAACUGUUGGGCUAUUGAAUCCUGAUAAGGCACACACAAAAGGGCGCCCACGAAUGAUGACCAUACAAGAACGCAUAAAAACCAAGACAUUCUACAAGUGCAGCCACUGUAAUGAUCCGGGUCACACAAAAAGGAAAUGCACUAAUCUGGAUAAAGUAUACGAUAUCCCCAAAAAGAAGAGAUCUAGGAAGACAAACCAGCCAAGCACGGCUGAUGGAGGGCAAGGACGGCAGAAUGCUAGGAGGGAAAAGAACAAAGAGAUCUACGCUACCAACAUACCUACGGAUGAGGUCUCCCAACUGCAACAAUGA